RNAcentral lists this ribosomal RNA (492 nucleotides) under Pseudomonas sp. B20(KJ). RNAcentral describes it as "bacterial SSU rRNA". It matches the Rfam family "Bacterial small subunit ribosomal RNA", at positions 21 to 508 of the family's 1533-position model. The record is from RNAcentral. Lineage: Bacteria; Pseudomonadati; Pseudomonadota; Gammaproteobacteria; Pseudomonadales; Pseudomonadaceae.
GGCUCAGAUUGAACGCUGGCGGCAGGCCUAACACAUGCAAGUCGAGCGGUAGAGAGAAGCUUGCUUCUCUUGAGAGCGGCGGACGGGUGAGUAAUGCCUAGGAAUCUGCCUAGUGGUGGGGGAUAACGUUCGGAAACGGACGCUAAUACCGCAUACGUCCUACGGGAGAAAGCGGGGGACCUUAGGGCCUCGCGCCAUUAGAUGAGCCUAGGUCGGAUUAGCUAGUUGGUGAGGUAAUGGCUCACCAAGGCGACGAUCCGUAACUGGUCUGAGAGGAUGAUCAGUCACACUGGAACUGAGACACGGUCCAGACUCCUACGGGAGGCAGCAGUGGGGAAUAUUGGACAAUGGGCGAAAGCCUGAUCCAGCCAUGCCGCGUGUGUGAAGAAGGUCUUCGGAUUGUAAAGCACUUUAAGUUGGGAGGAAGGGUAGUAACUUAAUACGUUGCUACUUUGACGUUACCGACAGAAUAAGCACCGGCUAACUUCGUGC